RNAcentral lists this ribosomal RNA (1325 nucleotides) under metagenome. Its description in RNAcentral is "bacterial LSU rRNA". It matches the Rfam family "Bacterial large subunit ribosomal RNA", at positions 1561 to 2925 of the family's 2925-position model. The record is from RNAcentral.
AGUGGAUGGGGAGCAACCUAGUUGUGCGUGUGUAAAGGUAGUGCCAAGAAAAGCGAUGAUCAUGUUGAAAAUCAAUUCCCGGUACCCGAAACCGACACAGGUGGGCAAGUAGAGAAUACUAAGGGGCGCGAGGUAACUCUCUCCAAGGAACUCGGCAAAAUGACCCCGUAACUUAGGGAGAAGGGGUGCCACCGAGAGGUGGUCGCAGUGAAGAGGCCCAGGCGACUGUUUAGCAAAAACAUAGGUCUCUGCAAACUCGAAAGAGGAGGUAUAGGGGCUGACGCCUGCCCAGUGCCGGAAGGUUAAAGAAGUUGGUCAGUUUUAGGAUGAAGCUAGCGACUGAAGCCCCGGUGAACGGCGGCCGUAACUAUAACGGUCCUAAGGUAGCGAAAUUCCUUGUCGGGUAAGUUCCGACCCGCACGAAAGGCGUAACGAUCUGGGCGCUGUCUCGGAGAGAGGCUCGGCUAAAUAGGAUUGUCUGUGAAGAUACGGACUACCUGCAUUUGGACAGAAAGACCCUAUGAAGCUUUACUAUAGCUUGGAAUUGUGUUCGGGCUUCCUGUGCGCAGGAUAGGUGGGAGGCGUAGAAGGUAUUCUUGUGGGGAUACUGGAGCCAACGGUGAGAUACCACUCUCAGGAGGCUAGAAUUCUAACUUAAUUAAGGACAGUUUCAGGUGGGUAGUUUGACUGGGGCGGUCGCCUCCAAAAAGGUAACGGAGGCGUACAAAGGUUCCCUCAGACUGGUUGGAAAUCAGUCGAAGAGUGCAAAGGCAGAAGGGAGCUUGACUGCGAGAAGUACAGUUCGAGCAGGGUGGAAACACGGUCUUAGUGAUCCGACGGUGCUGUGUGGAAGGGCCGUCGCUCAACGGAUAAAAGUUACUCUAGGAUAACAGGCUGAUCUCCCCCAAGAGUUCACAUCGACGGGGAGGUUUGGCACCUCGAUGUCGGCUCAUCGCAACCUGGGGCGGAAGUACGUCCCAAGGGUUGGGCUGUUCGCCCAUUAAAGCGGUACGUGAGCUGGGUUCAGAACGUCGUGAGACAGUUCGGUCCAUAUCCGAUGUAGGCGUGAGAAUAUUGAGAGGAGCCUUCCUUAGUACGAGAGGACCGGGAAGGACGCACCGCUGGUGUACCUGUUAUGAUGCCAAUUGUAAACGCAGGGUAGCCAAGUGCGGAGAGGAUAACCGCUGAAAGCAUCUAAGUGGGAAGCCCACCUCAAGAUGAGUAUUCUGGUGUAAGGUCACGGGAAGACGACCCGUAAAUAGGCACGAGGUGGAAGUGCAGAGAUGUAUGAAGCCGAAGUGUACUAAUAGACCGUCGGCUUGACC